Molecule: long non-coding RNA, 1307 nt
Organism: Homo sapiens (human)
Lineage: Eukaryota; Metazoa; Chordata; Mammalia; Primates; Hominidae
Product: long intergenic non-protein coding RNA 882
Source: Ensembl
GAGUUCUCAGCGCCUCCCGCCGCGCAGGCUCGGCGUUGGCCUCCGCGGCCCGUGCGAGUGCGCCCUUCUCGGGUCCCCUAGGUCGCGGGGCAGCCGGGGCGGAAGGGGCUUGUUCAUUAUUUUGAGAGUUUGUUGUGAACGUCAUAACCUUUCGUCCUUAAAUAUUGCCGAUACUUGACCUACGCAAGAGACAAUGUCAUGUGAUUCAGCCUAAUAUCUCAAUGUAAUAAGGACUUAUGAACAGAAGACAUGUCUGUGUGCCAGGCAGCUGUGAGACAAAAUCGUGGAUCUCCGCACUGUAAACCCCCAGACCCAGGACUUACAUAACCUAGGGAAAUGUUGUUUCAGAAGGGAUGUGUAGGACAGUUGAAGUACAAGAACAUCAAGGUCAUUUCACCCAAGGGCAGAAUUUAUGGAGGAUGCAGCAUUCAAGGUUCUAUCUUGGAAGCAGAGACUGUGCCCUCACCAGAUGCUGAACCUGCUGAGCACCCUGAUCUUCCACUUCACCUUCAUCAGAACUGGUGCUAAGAAUUCUGAAUUUAUUGAGGAAAUAAAUGUCUGAUUGCAACAAAAGAAAACUUGUCUGGCUUUGGGAAGGAAGAGGCUUAGGAAAAAAAUUAAAGGCGUCUUUACUAGAAGUUCAAGACUGGGGCUGUGGCUGAGAUGUCACAUGGCAGAUAGGAUCACAAAUUUCUGUUGUAUCUGGAUGGAGAUCAGCAGGAGGAUCUAUGGGUGAGAAGAAGCACAGUUACAGAUGGAUUCUAGAGCCUGCUUGCUGACACAGGCUUGCAACUGCGGACUUUAUAAGCUUAGUUUUUAAUCUGCUAUCAGCUAGCAUAAUACCAUAAAUGCAUAAGAAACUAAGUAUUCAGUCUUACGAGAAAUGCUAUCUUGACCUGACCCUUUCUCCAAAUAAAUUGACAAAAUAUCUCAUCGUCUAGGAUGCCAGACAGAAAUACCAGUUGCAAUGUUUUGUUGCAUAAAGUUUAUCCUAAUUUAAAUUAGUGGCAUAUAAAGUCAUCAUCUUGCUUGAACAAACAUCUUAUUAAAUUGAGCAUGUCUUUUAUCCCAUGAAAUGAAAUUAAUUUUGAGAUAGUUAUUUUUCAGUUGGAAAUUUAUUGAGUUGAUAGAAAACAAGUUAUAUAGUCUUCCAAAGAAUAUGUUACAUCCAUUUGCAUUUUGUUUUUCUUCAGCAAUGUUUGGUUUUUAGAAAAUCUUACAAGUUAAAUAUACUAAUGUAGAAAUUGAAAGAAAAUAAUCAGAGAUAGAGCAAUAAAUUUGCAAAUAAAGAUUAUUCUUAAAACAAA